RNAcentral lists this ribosomal RNA (242 nucleotides) under uncultured bacterium. RNAcentral describes it as "partial 16S ribosomal RNA". It matches the Rfam family "Bacterial small subunit ribosomal RNA", at positions 32 to 250 of the family's 1533-position model. The record is from RNAcentral.
AAUCAACGCUGGCGGCGUGCCUCAGACAUGCAAGUCGAACGCGAAAUCUCCCUUCGGGGAGAAAGUAGAGUGGCGCACGGGUGAGUAACACGUAGGUAAUUUGCCUUCGGGUGGGGAAGUAACUCAGGGAAACGUUGAGCUAAUACCGCAUAAUGCAGCGGCUCGACAUCGAGACAGUUGUUAAAGCGGGGGAGUCGCAAGACCUCGCGCCUGAAGAGAAGCCUGCGGCAGAUUAGCUAGUU